GACGAACGCUGGCGGCGUGCUUGACACAUGCAAGUCGAACGAAGUGGCGAACGGGUGAGUAAUACGUGAGUAACCUGCCCUCCUGUUUGGGAUAAGCCUUGGAAACGGGGUCUAAUACCGAAUAAAGGGGGAUGGGCUGGCGGCCUAUCAGCUUGUUGGUGGGGUGAUAGCCUACCAAGGCGGUGACGGGUAGCCGGCCUGAGCGGGUGACCUGCAACAUUGGGAAGGGGAUAGGUCCCAGAGUGCGACGGGAGGGAGGAGUGGGGGAUAUUGGACAAUGGGCGAAAGCCGGAUGCAGCGGCGCCGCGUGGGGGAUGUAGGAUUUCGGGUUGUAAACCUCUUGCGCGAUCGAAAGGGUAGGUGGAGAAGAAGCGCCGGCUAACUACGUGCCAGCAGCCGCGGUAAUAC
RNAcentral lists this ribosomal RNA (408 nucleotides) under uncultured bacterium. Its description in RNAcentral is "partial 16S ribosomal RNA". It matches the Rfam family "Bacterial small subunit ribosomal RNA", at positions 28 to 526 of the family's 1533-position model. The record is from RNAcentral.